RNAcentral lists this ribosomal RNA (600 nucleotides) under uncultured Pleosporales. RNAcentral's name for it is "eukaryotic LSU rRNA". The stretch from base 239 to 392 matches the Rfam family "5.8S ribosomal RNA". The record is from RNAcentral. Lineage: Eukaryota; Fungi; Ascomycota; Dothideomycetes; Pleosporales.
CUUGGUCAUUUAGAGGAAGUAAAAGUCGUAACAAGGUCUCCGUAGGUGAACCUGCGGAGGGAUCAUUACAGAGUUCUCGCCCCUCGCGGGUAGAUCUCCCACCCACUGUUAUCGCUACCGUCGUUUCUUUGGCGGGCCGCUGGGCCCUGCCCGGCCGCCGGCUCCGGCUGGCGCGCGCCCGCCAGAGACCCCCCAAACUCUGAAUGUUAGUGUCGUCUGAGUACUAUACAAUAGUUAAAACUUUCAACAACGGAUCUCUUGGUUCUGGCAACGAUGAAGAACGCAGCGAAAUGCGAUAAGUAAUGUGAAUUGCAGAAUUCAGUGAAUCAUCGAAUCUUUGAACGCACAUUGCGCCCCCUGGUAUUCCGGGGGGCACACCUGUUCGAGCGCCAUUUUCACCAUCGAGCCCUGCUCGGCGAUGGGCCUCGUCCUCGCGGACGGGCUCGAAACCCGUGGGCGCCGUCGUCCGGCCCUGAGCGUAGCAAGAGAAAUCCCUCGCUCGGUGUGUCGUCCGGUGGCCGCCCCGACAACCAUUUACAAGGUUGGCCUCGGAUCAGGUGGGGAUACCCGCUGAACUUAAGCAUAUCAAUAAGCGGAGGA